Molecule: ribosomal RNA, 798 nt
Filed under: uncultured organism
Description: bacterial SSU rRNA
Rfam family: Bacterial small subunit ribosomal RNA
Source: RNAcentral
AGUGGCGAACGGGUGAGUAACACGUGGGUAAUCUGCCCUGAAGUUGGGGACAACUCGCUGAAAAGCGAGCUAAUACCGAAUGAGAUAGUCUUUACAUAUGUGAGGAUUAUGAAAGGUGUCGGCCGCUUCAGGAUGAGCCUGCGGUCUAUUAGCUAGUUGGUGAGGUAAAUGCUCACCAAAGCUACGAUAGAUAGCCGGCCUGAGAGGGUGUACGGUCACAUUGGAACUGAGACACGGUCCAGACUCCUACGGGAGGCAGCAGCUAAGAAUAUUCCGCAAUGGGCGAAAGCCUGACGGAGCGACGCCGUGUGGUUGAUGAAGGCCUUACAGGUUGUAAAAACCUUUUAUUCGAGAAGAUGGGCAAGCCUCGAGCUUGCUUGACGGUAUCGAACGAAUAAGCCCCGGCAAAUUACGUGCCAGCAGCCGCGGUAAUACGUAAGGGGCUAGCGUUGUUCGGAAUUAUUGGGCGUAAAGGGCGUGCAGGCGGACUAAUAAGUCGGGUGUGAAAUCUUAUGGCUUAACCAUGAGCUAUUGCUCGAAACUGUUAGUCUAGAGUUUGGAAUAGGGAGACGGAAUUCCUAGUGUAGGAGUGAAAUCUAUAGAUAUUAGGAAGAACACCGGUGGCGAAGGCGGUCUCCUGGUCUAAAACUGACGCUAAAGCGCGAAAGCUAGGGUAGCAAACGGGAUUAGAUACCCCGGUAGUCCUAGCCGUAAACGUUGCAUACUAGGUGUAUGAGGUGUCGAUCCCUCAUGUGCCAAAGCUAACGCGUUAAGUAUGCCGNCUGGGGAGUAUGCUCG